AAUAUGUAUGGAUAGGUUUUCUUUCUUAGAUGGUCUAGAGACUCUAGACCGUUUAUAUUUUUCCUUUGAAAAGUAUUUUUCUUUCCGUUAUGCUUGACGACAUCUAAAUUUGAUUCUAGUUUGUUUCUUAGGCUCGAAGAAUAGGAAGAAAAGAAUACAUUGAGAAAAGCUAGAUGGGAAGGGAACAAAAGGAGGGAAUUAAGUGGAUUCCCUCCAAACACGCCAUACCUCCCUCGACAUCACCAUUAUUUUUGCCUUACUUUCGUAUGAAUAGCAUGAGCGGUAAAAGGUUAACUCUUGGUGUUGGAUUGAUAGAGCCUUUUGUUUACAGUUGAAGGUAGCAAGCUGAAAAAUCUGUUUUGCGGACCGAAAAUUUGGGGCGAUUUCAUUUCGGUGGUAAUUUGGAUUUUCAUUCCAAUUGAGGUACAGGACUCAGGAUUUGAAGAUUCCAUUGCUCCUUGGAUGGCUUACAGUUUCUAAGUUUCUAUUUUAUGCAAGUGUUAGCAUAAGAUGCCUCUUUGUAGCCCUAUUUGUUUAAACUUGUAUUCGUUAAUUCGUAUAUGUAAAGUGUACGUAAGUGAACUCUUUUCAAUGUAUUUAACAUGUAUGAGAUGAGGCCGGAGGCCAAUGACAUGUAUCUCAUUUUCAAUGCACUUUUGUUUUCAAAGUUUAUUAUGAAAAUAUUGGAAAAUGUUUAAGUCAUUGCUUCAUAACUUUCGCA
Cornus florida is the source of this 721-nucleotide long non-coding RNA. RefSeq lists it as uncharacterized. The transcript has 5 exons. NCBI's taxonomy places the organism in Eukaryota, Viridiplantae, Streptophyta, Magnoliopsida, Cornales, Cornaceae. The record is from RefSeq and is a predicted model, not a curated record.